CCUCCGUUGGUGAACCAGCGGAGGGAUCAUUAUCGAGUUUAUAACUCCCAAACCCUAUGUGAACUUACCACUUGUUGCUUCGGCGCGCGCUUCGGUGCCGCCGAGGACACUUAAACUCUUUGUUUUUAUAAGCAUUUCUGAGUGGCCGAAAGGCAAAAUACAAAUGAGUCAAAACUUUCAACAACGGAUCUCUUGGUUCUG
Molecule: unclassified non-coding RNA, 201 nt
Filed under: plant metagenome
Description: partial contains small subunit ribosomal RNA, internal transcribed spacer 1, and 5.8S ribosomal RNA
Source: RNAcentral